RNAcentral lists this long non-coding RNA (1269 nucleotides) under Venturia canescens. Its description in RNAcentral is "uncharacterized LOC122409080". The record is from RNAcentral. Lineage: Eukaryota; Metazoa; Arthropoda; Insecta; Hymenoptera; Ichneumonidae.
GACAGUUUCGAUAUUGAUAUAGAUAUAGAUAUAUUUUUUUUUUCUGGUGCCAUAACAUAAGUCUAUACUUAUAUAUAUAUCCGUGAUGAUAUCGACGUAUGGUGUGUUUAAUGAGUAGAUAAUAAAAGCAAGACAAUGUUUUAGUGAAAGUGGUGAAAAAAAGUAAAGAGAAAAAUGGAAAUAAAGGCGGAGGAAUCCAAGAGUGUUGUGUAUUAUAUUAUAUUAUAUAUUAUAAACUGAAAAUUGUCAACAAUGUUACAGGAAACUGCCAGCUAGUGUAUAAGACCGAGAUAUAAAGGCUCUUACGAUUUCGGAUUGAUGAUAGGAGUGACGAAGGAGAGCAAGGGCUACAAAAAUGUAGAAUAAAGAAGUAAAUGCAGUCUGGAAAAGGAUUUAGAGAAAAGCACAAUUCUAUCAACGGCUUAACACAUUAAUCGCUGCAAAGAAAAGAAGAGUGCGGGUGAGCACUUACAUGCUCCGGUGGCAAUGCUUUAAAAUCUUGUCAUCGUCAUGAUAUCUCCAGUGCAAAUGAAAUAUGGAAGAGGUCUGUCGCCGGCCCAUUAAUACUCAUUUGACAUUUUUGGGCACCGAUGGUUAUUUUACCUGAAGAAUUAUUCGCUCAUUGUUCAUUUAAGACUAUCGCAAUGAUCACAGUGGAAGUGGUGCACAAUUUCUUGAUAAACUCUUUUGACUUCAAUCGACAUGAAGCACUUUUCCACAACCACAGUUUGGGUACAUUUGCUUCGAAGAACAAUCAAUUGGUCAACACGGUUUUACAGAGUGUCGAGUAUCCCAUGGAUCAGUUCUGAAAGUUCAGAAGAAAAAUGUUUCUAGAUUGAUUGACGUAGAGAGGAUUUUGUCCGAGCUGUUUGGUCAUUUUUUCGUCUUUCUUCGCUCGUACUGCUCUUGCCAAGACACAACCCACAACUAAGCCAGUAUCCGAGGUCAACGCGAUUCCAGAACUGCUGUAAUAAUUCAAAGCCCGGACGUUGAAUAUAGGGUUUUGUCCAAUGCCAAUUUUUAUUCUCAAAUUCCUCAGCCGCGUUUAUUCCCUUACACGAAUUAGUUGAUAAUGGAAAUUAUUGCAAUCAUGGAUUUUAAACUCAUCAAAAUUCUCGAUUUUUUCGCAUUGUUUUUCUCCAAUUGCAGCGUUUGAUCCUCGGAAUCAUCAAAUCGACGGUAAACAAAAUCCCAAAGCAGUAUUGUUGCUGAUUAGAAAUAAUGGACUCGUUAUUAAAACAACUUUGAUGUAUAAUAAAACGAUUUUUC